Molecule: long non-coding RNA, 239 nt
Filed under: Gossypium raimondii (Peruvian cotton)
Lineage: Eukaryota; Viridiplantae; Streptophyta; Magnoliopsida; Malvales; Malvaceae
Description: long non-coding RNA (GRAI_LNC001990)
Source: RNAcentral
AAAGUUGCAUUUUGUCUAGGAUGUCAUAACAUUAGGGUGUGAUUUCACAAUAUCGAGCCUAGUUUCUAGCUUCUUCAAUUUUUUCGGUUCUAUCACUACAUGGUAUCUACACUUGUUGUGGGAAAAUUGAACAGAACUAAGAUUAAUAAAACAAAAUAAAUGAAUAAAAAAUAAAAAUAAAAACGAAACAAAAUUUAAAACAAGAAAUAGAAGUUUUUCCACUAUUGAUAUAUAUGAAU